CUUUCCCCUCCAGUGUCCUCCCCUCUGCCCUCUGCCCUCUGCCCUCCCGAAAGAAACCAAUAACUUCCUCCCUUUCUUAUCUGAACUGGGGUUUUCAUCAUUCAAAUGCCACGCUCCGAACAUCAAAUUGAGCCACGUUAUCUGCAUCUCAUGGCUAGGCCCCACCACCGUUCCGAUGCCUCUGCGCUCUUAAUAACCCCCGCGAUCUUCUUGCCUUCUGGUUCAACUCCCUUUCCCUCAAUUCCUCCGUCGCUUUUUCUCAUACGCAGACAGUUUCAUCUCACUCAGUUAACAUCCCAACUUCAAUAACGCACUCUUGAUUCAUAUUCCUUCUUUCGGCGAUACAGGAAUUAAAAUUAAUCCCUCCGAGAUUCUGCUCUUUUCAGGUGUCUCAACCUAUCUAAGCUGUUCUUCCAGGAAAAUUUUCUGAUGGGAGGCGCUUGUUCUUUGAAGAGAGAUUAUAGUGCUGAUGGAUAUGGACUCCAUAGAGGCAUUUCCGGCAUGUACUUCAAAUGUGGAUAUUCGAAAGAGCGAAGGGCCUCGGUUCACUCAAAUUCUGGUUGCCCCCCACAAGGAGGUAGCUGUCCAUCGCUCAUGGAACUUUGCAUUUACAAGAUACGCCAGGAAAUUCACAAAUAUACUUCAUUCUAUAUGCUGCCAAGAGAUAUAAGCCAGUUGAUAUUUAAUGAUCUGGCGUCCUGCCACGCUCUUUCAGAUUGUUCUAUUAAAGCUUUCAGAGACUGUGCUCUGCAGGAUAUAUGCCUGGCAGAUUAUCCAGGAGUGAGAGACAGUUGGAUGGAUGUCAUUACUUCACAAGGAUCGUCUUUACUUACCAUUCAGCUUUCAAGUUCUGGUCUUACAGAUGUAGGCUUGGCUCAGCUUAAGAAUUGCUCAAACCUCCAAGCACUAUUGUUUGAUCGUUUUGAUAAUGUCUCUGAACAUGGCCUAAAGCAACUUGAUGGUUGUCUUUCAAACUUGGCAUAUUUGGGUUUUAUCAAAAGCAAUGCCCUUACCCGUGAAGGAAUGCAGGCUUUAUCCAGCCUGUUUAAUUUGGAAAAGUUGGAUUUUGAUAGGUGCCCUAGGAUUCAUGGUGGACUUGUGCAUCUAAAAGGUCUGACAAAGCUGAAGUCUCUUAAGAUCAGGUGUUGUAAAUGCAUUACAGAUUCCGACAUGGAGUCUCUUGCAGGUAUUUUUGGGAGCACCGUCUGCUUUGCGUUGCAAGUGCUCAACUUUUGGUGGAAUUUGUUGAUCUUCAAAUUUUCAUGCUUCAGGGCUUAUAAAUUUGAAGGAAUUACAGAUUUCAUCUGUUAACAUUACGAACAUUGGAGUUUCAUAUUUGGAAGGUUUAAGCAAUCUCAUCUCACUCACUGUGGAAGGAUGCAAUGUUACUGCAUCAUGUUUGGAUCCAAUUUCAGCAUUCAGACAUUUGAAGGUGUUGAAUUUGGGGUUCAAUGAUGUUACAGAUGCAUGUCUAGUGCAUCUGAAAGGUCUAACAAGAUUGGAAAGUCUAAAUCUGGAUUCCACACGUGUUGGUGAUGGCGGACUUGCUAACUUAGUUGGUAGUUACUUGUUUAUAUUUAAUGACAAGUAGGUGUUUUUAACGAGUAAAACAAACAUUCUUUUGUCUGACCGGUUAAAGUUGGUAACUCAUGUCUUCAUGAGUAAAUAUUGAAGUGAAGAUUUCUAUUGACUUAAAUGAGACUGUAUUUGAAUAUUUCAGGGCUACAAGGUUUAAGAAAGCUUCACCUGUCAGAUACUGAAGUUGGUAGUGAAGGGCUUCGCCAUCUAUCUGGUAGGAUGUUCUUCUUACACCGCUGUGUGGUACUUUCCGAGGUGCUUGAUGAGUAAUUUAGAACUCUUUUUUUAGCAGAGCUAUGUUUUGAAUGCCCUCUCAUAUCUUUAAAUGGGAAGCACAAUUGCUGCUCUCUCAUGCAUAUGACUCUUUUAGUUGUAUUGUUUCAAGAAUUUAUUUUGUGUCUGUUGAUAUAGACUUCGUGAAUGAUUGCUGAAAUUUUUUAUUUUGGUUAGUGCAAUGAUUUGCGCGCACAGGGAAGCUAAAUGUAGCGAGAAAUAUUUAAAAAUAAAUUCUGUUUAUUGUUUUUCGUGCCUGUCAAUCGUAACAUCAUUAGGUUAUACUGCCACAAAAUGGAAAAUAGAGCUUGGAUUAUUUUGAUUAUUGUAAUUUGGAAAUGAUUAAGUUGAUUCUAAUCUCAACUUUUUUACUGCAAAAUGUUGGGAUUGUCUGCAACUUUUGUGUUUUAAUGGAUAAGCUAUAAUGUGGAUUUUGCAACUUAUAAUAGACCUGGUAUUAUUUCUGUUACCUUCUGUAUGUGUUAUAUUUGGAGAAUAUAUUGACUCGAGUCUAUCUGACAUCUAAGGUCUGACCAACUUGGAGGAAAUCAAUCUGGCAUUUACAUCAGUAACUGAUGGUGGGUUGGAAAAGUUAUCCCAGUUGACAAAUCUCAAAUCACUGAAUUUGGACGCUCCCCAAAUUACUGACCAUGGUCUGGAAAUGCUUACAGGUUUGACUGAAGUGACCCACUUGGAUCUGUUUGGAGCUCAUAUUUCAGACUCUGGAGUAAACUGCUUGUCAUAUUUCAAAAACCUACAAUCUCUCGACUUAUGUGGUGGAAAGUUGACGGAUGCUGGAGUGAAGAAUAUCAAAUAUCUUACCUCCCUGAUGAUUUUGAACCUGUCACAAAAUCUCGACCUUACUGAUACAGCUUUGAAGUUUAUCUCUGGGCUGGUUGCGCUGGUAUGUCUGAAUGUGUCGUAUUCACGCAUCACGAAUGAGGGUCUGGAGUAUCUGAAGCCUCUGAAGAAUUUGAGUUCAUUGUAUUUGGACUUCUGCAAUGUGACCGGAUCAGGAAUCAGAAAGCUUCAGUCCAAGUUCCUCCCAAGUCUCGUAAGGUUCCGCCCCGAGUGCUAGACACAAAAAUGGUCAGGUCAGGUCAGGUAUUACGAGCCGUUUGGCUGCCUGCUAUUUGCUGUGUAAAUACUCUUAAGCUAAGCUAAGCUAGCAGUCGGGAGGUUGUUUUGAAGAUUUAACAAGAAAGGGAAGAACGUUGUGGGUAUAAAUGGGGGUUGUAAAUACUAAACAGUUGUUGUUCCAUGGGAUGGAUGAUAAUAAUGAAGUACUCUUUUUUUUUUUU
Coffea arabica (coffee) is the source of this 3152-nucleotide non-coding RNA. The record is from RefSeq and is a predicted model, not a curated record. NCBI's taxonomy places the organism in Eukaryota, Viridiplantae, Streptophyta, Magnoliopsida, Gentianales, Rubiaceae.